GCGGUUUUGCGUGUCCCGCCUCUACGGGCAAAGCGGGUCGGUGAUUGGCAGCGUGGAGAGGAUCGGUUCCGGGUGAGGCUGGCCCCCCAAGAGGAAGAUGGAGAUAGAGGCUUUGACCUCACCUUCAGGACUGCUGAUGACCCUGGCCUGUCCCUCAUAAAAUAUGGAGAAUUUCUGUAUGACAACUUGAUUAUUUUCUCCCCAUCUGUAGAAGAUUUUGGCGGAAACAUCAAUGUGGAGACAAUUACUGCUUUCAUCAGCGGAGGCGGAAGUGUCCUUGUGGCUGCCAGUUCUGACAUUGGUGAUCCUCUGCGAGAGCUGGGCAGUGAGUGUGGAAUAGAGUUUGAUGAGGAAAGGACAG
Mauremys reevesii (Reeves's turtle) is the source of this 361-nucleotide long non-coding RNA. RefSeq lists it as uncharacterized. The record is from RefSeq and is a predicted model, not a curated record. The transcript has 4 exons. NCBI's taxonomy places the organism in Eukaryota, Metazoa, Chordata, Testudines, Geoemydidae.